This 343-nucleotide unclassified non-coding RNA is filed under the name Hevea brasiliensis (rubber tree). The record is from RNAcentral. Lineage: Eukaryota; Viridiplantae; Streptophyta; Magnoliopsida; Malpighiales; Euphorbiaceae.
GGGUCACUUUCCUUAUACAUUGCCAAAAAGUACAGCAAUUGCAGGAUUACUGGGAUUUGCAACUCAACAACCCAGAGAGCAUUCAUUGAGGAGCAGUGUCGGUAUAAUGCUUGAUACAUUAGCAAUAUAUCAUUCACUUCAAAUGGUAGAUUUUGUGUCAGAUAUAUAGUAUUAUCUAAUAAAAAAAAAACGAUAUUGACCAUUUUCUAUUAAUAAAGUAACAUAUUCUUGGUUUCUUCACAAAUUGGAAGCUGAGGAUCAGCAGAUGAUCCAAACCAUUUAAUCACCCUUUUCUGUAGGGAACAUCAGCUGCAGAAUAUAGAAAUCAUUGUUGCAGAUAUUA